GCAGAAGUGAUUCAAGCUACUGACCAGAAUUCAGUUUUCAGGCUGUACGUGCCUAUAAAAUGACUUUGUCCUCUUGGAGAGAAGUCUGGAAGGGACCCAAAGGCUUGGCCAAGACUUCUGGGUCUCCACUCCUUUCAGCUUAAGCCUCUGGGAGGCCAAGAAGAAGGUUAGACCCAUUCCUAUUUCAGUGUUUUUGGUCCUUGGAGGGAUCCUGUGUCCUCUCUCAAGGCUCUGGGCAGCACGUGGGACACUAUUGCACAAAACGUAGCACAGUCUUGGUGAAAUAACCUUCCAAGUUAAGAUGUGCUUUGAGGAUUAGGACCACCCAGGAUGAAGAACUGCCUGAGCACGGUGACCCCAUUGUUCAUACGAGGGGUUGAGGAGGCAACAAGUCUACUUCUUGGGAGAAAUGCUGUGAAGACCAUGGAGCAAACUGAAGGCUCACGCUCUCUAUUGACGUGGCAAAGUCAACUCAGAAAAUGACUGUGUCCAGCUUUCGUGGGCUCCAGGCUCCAAGCUCUCAUUCACACCCUUCAGUUCUAUUAAGUCAGAACUGGACCAGGAGAAUUUGGGGAAGAGCAGCUCUGAAUUCGAGACUCGCCACUUGAGAGAUGUGUAUCCUUUCUGAGAUGCAGUUGCCUGAUCUGGAAAAUUGGGAUGAUCAUUUCUGUCACAGAGAGUCGGUGAAAAUCCUAAGGUGGAGAAGAGACUGAAUAUGCCCACUGUGCCCAAGGCAGGGCUAGAGUUGAUUUGGGGUUUACUUGGCUUCAUGGAUUUGAAACCAUAGAUGCUCUUACACAUCUUUCCCGUUUGAUUGGAGUGAAGCAUGCCACUCCUAAAAAGAAACUACUCGUUCUUUCAUUUCCUUCAAAAAAAAAAAAAGAGAGAGAGAGAGAAGAAGAAGAAAUUUAAUUUGGAUUCGGCUAAUACCCUUAUAACAUCUAAAGCUGUCAAGCAAAAAGAAGAGUAGAUAAUUAGAAGAUGAUGGGAGCCAGCACAGAGCCGAGUGGAGGAAAAGACAGGCACAGGAUGAGAAAAUGGAGACUUGGAGGAGUAAUUUGCCCAAGAUCAUGCUGUGGGGCAGGGAUCUGAAUCCAGACAGUCUGACUCCAAAACCCAACUUCGUAACCACCAAAAUGUCUCUCAUUUGUUGGGACAAACCUGGUUAUGGAACCAGGUUCUUUUGCCUGAUGUGCAGCAAACCAAAUGCUGAGAUGCUGAGGUUUACAGAAGAGAAAAGGUUUAUUCACAAGGCACCCAAGCGAGGCGAUGGGAGGACAAGUUUCAGAUCUGCUUCCUUGAAGCCCUCGAAGCCGUGUGUGGAUCAAACACGUUGCGAAGUGACAAGAGCCAGGAGUGCUGAGUUUCGAGGAGGACGUGAGUCCCUGCCAACCGACUUUGGAAUUGCUGUGAGUGAGACACAAGCUUUCACUGUGUGAAACCCUGUGACUUGGGGGUUCAUCUUUUACCACAGCAUUGUCUAGCCUGACCAGAUUCAUUUGCAUAAGAAAAUCUCCACUGCCUUCAGAAUAUAAAGUAUAUUUCUGUAAACGUUGCAGAAAGCUAGUAUCUUGAUAAGAUAUAGAAAUUCUUCCACUCUUUCCUCUUACUGCAGUUCUUUCACUCCUUCUCUACCUUAAUGGGUUGGAGUUUGUCAUCAAGUCAGUCAGUCAACCAGGAUGCAGAUGUGAGUUUCCUUGUGGAAACAGGUGCCAGCAAAUAUUGCGUACCCCACCCGGAAGUACUGUGCCAAGUUAAAUCUAACCGAGGUCUUUUAGGUCGUUUCUGCCCACAUGAACCCAGGGUCGCUGAGUAUUAUUCCUUCAGCCCCAUCCACGCGAAAAGCUUCUUGGGUGAAGACAUGGAAUGCAGUUCAGCCCCAGGAUAUAUUCCUGCAAGGAGGAGUGCCAUGUACGACAGAUCAGAGACGGUAGGUGACAUGAUUUUGCACUCACGCCUAUUCCCUGCCUGCUCCUGUCCCAUCCUGUUCUAAACACCAGCAUCGCCUUGAAAUUCCCUUAAGCAAACUGAGACGCCAUAAGAAUCUCUACUGGUAUUGAUCCCAAUGCUGCAUAGUUUCUCUCCUGAACACUUUUUACCCAUAUUUAUACACAGGUAUGCAUAUCGGUAUGCAUGUAUAUACAUAAAUGCUUCUUAUAAUGAGUUUCUUCAUCAUGAAAGAUGAAUUAAUCACUUCAUUGACCUUACUAUAUAAUUUGCUGCAACGUACAGGAUUUACCAGACAACACCUACCACCUUAUAACAUCAGGACUUGCCCUUUGAGUCUAUAUUAAAUGAAUGCUUUCUUUGCCUUUAAGCAGUCAUAAUAAAUCAUACUGCACAAUUAAAUAGCUAUCACUCUUUAAUUAAGGAGUCAUCUUCUCCACUUCACCUGAUCUUGCCCAGUUUCCAGCAUGACCUGGUGCUUAAAGCUCAAGGAGAAAGUAAUUCAUAUUAUAAAUGUAUAACAGGGAAGUUCCCUUGUGUCGCAGCAGGUUAAGGAUCCACUGUUGCCACAAUAGUGGCGCAGGUGGUUACUGCAGUGCAGUUUUGAUCCCUGGCCCACGAACUUUCAUGUGCCAUGGGUGCAGCCAAAAAUAAAUAAAUAAACGAAAACGUAUAACAGACCAUUCAUGAGCUAAUCCUUGAAGAUAUUUUUCUCCAAUCAAAAGUUAUUUAGGAAUUUCCCUGGAGUUCCCAUCGUGGCAUGGUGGAAAUGAAUCUGACUAGUAUCACUGAAGGUGUAGGUUCGAUCCCUGGCCUCACUCAGUGGGUUAAGGAUCCGGUGUUUCUGUAAGCUGUGGCAUAGGUUGCAGACAUGGCUCGGAUCUGGCAUUGCUAUGGCUGUGGGGGUAGGCUGGCAGCUACAGUUCCAAUUCAACCCCCAGCCUGGGAACCUCCAUAUGCCUUAGGUGCAGCCCUAAAAAAUAAAAAUAAAAAUAAAAAUUAAAAAAAAAA
This 2958-nucleotide long non-coding RNA is filed under the name Sus scrofa (pig). RNAcentral describes it as "lncRNA (ENSSSCG00040074515.1)". Lineage: Eukaryota; Metazoa; Chordata; Mammalia; Artiodactyla; Suidae. The record is from RNAcentral.